This 253-nucleotide ribosomal RNA is filed under the name uncultured bacterium. RNAcentral describes it as "partial 16S ribosomal RNA". It matches the Rfam family "Bacterial small subunit ribosomal RNA", at positions 524 to 776 of the family's 1533-position model. The record is from RNAcentral.
UACGUAGGGCGCAAGCGUUAUCCGGAAUUAUUGGGCGUAAAGAGCUCGUAGGUGGUUUGUCGCGUUGUCCGUGAAAACUCACAACUCAAUUGUGGGCGUGCGGGCGAUACGGGCAGACUGGAGUACUGCAGGGGAGACUGGAAUUCCUGGUGUAGCGGUGGAAUGCGCAGAUAUCAGGAGGAACACCGGUGGCGAAGGCGGCGACCUGGCCUGUUCUUGACGCUGAGGCGCGAAAGCUAGGGGAGCAAACGGG